RNAcentral lists this ribosomal RNA (376 nucleotides) under uncultured bacterium. RNAcentral's name for it is "bacterial SSU rRNA". It matches the Rfam family "Bacterial small subunit ribosomal RNA", at positions 521 to 896 of the family's 1533-position model. The record is from RNAcentral.
UAAUACGAAGGGGGCGAGCGUUGUUCGGAUUUACUGGGCGUAAAGGGCGCGCAGGCGGCGGACCAAGUCAGGCGUGAAAGCCCCGGGCUUAACCUGGGAGGUGCGUCUGGGACUGGUAUGCUAGAGUUCGGGAGAGGAGAGUGGAAUUCCCAGUGUAGAGGUGAAAUUCGUAGAUAUUGGGAAGAACACCGGUGGCGAAGGCGGCUCUCUGGACCGAGACUGACGCUGAGGCGCGAAAGCGUGGGGAGCAAACAGGAUUAGAUACCCUGGUAGUCCACGCUGUAAACGAUGUGUGCUAGACGUUGGGGAGCCUAGCUCUUCGGUGUCGCAGCUAACGCGGUAAGCACACCGCCUGGGGAGUACGGCCGCAAGGUUA